Molecule: non-coding RNA, 113 nt
Organism: Acanthosepion pharaonis
Lineage: Eukaryota; Metazoa; Mollusca; Cephalopoda; Sepiida; Sepiidae
Source: the annotation of a GenBank genome assembly
UUGGGGUCAUAUCAUGAUGAAACACCAGUUCCCAUAUGAUCACUGGAGUUAAGCAAUGUUGCACAUAGUCAGUAUCUAGAUGAGUGAUCACAUGGGAAUAUCAGGUGCUGUAA